GUUACACAGUGCCCAUAAGUUUAUACACCUUCAUAAUCUGUGCUGUGAACCAUACAUAUUUUACACUUAAUGUUUUAAUGUGUCUCCCAACGUGGCAAUACGUCUAAAACUCUCAACAAAUUUAUUAACUUAAUUAAUUUGAAAGAUCUUUCACAAGCAAAACUCGCAACUUAUUCGAAUACUUUACUAUUAUAAGAUACCCUUUGGUUGAAAAUCAGUUGCUUAUUUCAUAUUAAUUGGACUUUAUUAUGACUAGGAGCUGCCGCCAUUAUGGAAAAAAACGUAAAAACGUAAAAAGCAAAAAGUGAAUUGGUUUAUUUUAAAAGAAUGUGGGUUUAUUUUUGAGUGAUAUUUUAUUUUCUGAAUUUUUGUGUGUUGACAAUAGGUAUGAUUUUGGUUAUGUUGGUUAGAUUUGAUAUUUGUGUUUUAGGUUAGUGUUUUAAUUUGAUGUUGACAAUAUUUUAUGAUGUAAUAUUAUUUGAUUUGUGUUUAGGAUUAAUGUCUAUGUUCGUGUGUUAUAUUUUGUUGUAUUGUUGCAAAUGUAUAAGGUUAGGAUUUUUACUUUUUAUUGUUCUGUUUUAUGGCAGUAUCAGCAAGGUUAAGGAAUUAAGCGGGCCAUAAGUACAUACAUGAUGGAUAAGAUGUAAAGCAAUAGUAAAGAUAUCAGGAUGUGACCAUGUAUUCAAUGUUAUAACGAGCUCCCUGCAAACCGAACCAAGCAAACAGAAAGGUAGAGCUAAAGUUUAGGAUACAUCGGUCUUAACAACGUACAGCACUGAGAGGGAUCCCUUACAGUUCAAUACAUCAUUGCGAGCACUCUCCGAAAUAUUUGGCCUAUGUGGCAUUGUGUAUGAUGUAAGUUCGGAGUGUCAUUUAAGUGGAUGUUUGAACAUUGUGUAAAAAGGGACGCCCUAGGUAUUAUCAGUAUCCUAGAGAUUGUAAUGACAAGAUGUAAGAAUGAGAAAAGUUGCAAAGUUAUUGGCGAGCGGAUGAGAGAGGUAGGUAACAAGUAGAUUUAGAUUUUUAGCAACAGCAAGUCGCACCACAUUUAACAACAUAUAUAUUUUAACAAUUUAGGUCAAAUGUUGUGAGUGGUUAUUAGCAAAUAUGAUUUAAGUGCUGAUGUUUUUGUAUUUGGGUUGUCUUUUGAUAUUUAAAGUUUAUUGAUAGUUACCUAGAAAAGAGAUGUUUUUUCAAGUUAGAUCAUACAGUCCACUGUUCAAGAAGUUAUGAGGCUAUGUUGUUUUUGUAUUUGUCACCAUCGUUUUAAGUUCUCCCCCACAUCGCAUGGUGGGCAGGACAGUUUUGUGAAGAACAUUAACAAUGUUCUUGGUGGGCGGUAUGUUGAGUGCAAAAUGCAACCUCUUUGGUUGACAAGCAGUAUUUAUACAGCCAAAGAGGUUGCAUACUGGCCACCAAGGCAAUAAUCGUGUGUAAAAGAAUAUAUAUAAAAAGAAGAAGUCAAGAUGUGAUUGAGAUAGUUUUGCGUUUUUAGGUUUUGUAUAUUUUUUUGUGUAAAUAAGUUAAUAAAGAUAUGUUAGGUUAAUAAUAAGUGUUUUGUAUUUUUGGCUGCCGCGCUGUCGGUAACAAGUUAAACAGCAAUGUUAAUUUAAGUUUGAUUGAGGAUUUCUGCAUCGAGUAAUAUUUUAGUACAAAUUACUUACAUGUAUGGACUUAGGUCGCAGGUCAAAUAAAAGAUUGUCAAAAUAAAAAAGGAGUGUAAUUAAUAGCUUUUAAUACGCCGUAAAAUAAUAUUUUACAAAUCAGAAAACCCCUUAGGUAAACUCAUUAAAAUACCACUUAUAGUUUAGACUAGUUACUAAUUAUUGCUCCAUAUUCAUUUAAUUCUAGUUGCCUUCUAUACAAUUAUUAUCGUCAAUGUGGUAGGCAGCGACAGAUCGCCAGUCAGUCAGUGCGAUGUAACUACUAAGUUAGAUCGCAGUGUGGUGUAGGUAGGCAAUGUGCGGUGGGUGACGUCACUUGUACUGUACACAAUGUUUCUGGUAAACGGAAGACGUACAAGACCCCUUGACUAGA
Molecule: long non-coding RNA, 2037 nt
Organism: Papilio polytes (common Mormon)
Lineage: Eukaryota; Metazoa; Arthropoda; Insecta; Lepidoptera; Papilionidae
Exons: 2
Source: RefSeq, a predicted model, not a curated record